This 22-nucleotide non-coding RNA is filed under the name Arabidopsis thaliana (thale cress). Lineage: Eukaryota; Viridiplantae; Streptophyta; Magnoliopsida; Brassicales; Brassicaceae. The record is from RNAcentral.
AAUCCCUUGUAAAUCAAUUUGC